RNAcentral lists this ribosomal RNA (446 nucleotides) under uncultured soil bacterium. RNAcentral's name for it is "bacterial SSU rRNA". It matches the Rfam family "Bacterial small subunit ribosomal RNA", at positions 26 to 518 of the family's 1533-position model. The record is from RNAcentral.
AGAACGAACGCUGGCGGCAUGCCUAAUACAUGCAAGUCGAACGAACUCUUCGGAGUUAGUGGCGCACGGGUGCGUAACGCGUGGGAAUCUGCCCCUUGGUUCGGAAUAACAGUUGGAAACGACUGCUAAUACCGGAUGAUGACGAAAGUCCAAAGAUUUAUCGCCAAGGGAUGAGCCCGCGUAGGAUUAGCUAGUUGGUGAGGUAAAGGCUCACCAAGGCAACGAUCCUUAGCUGGUCUGAGAGGAUGAUCAGCCACACUGGGACUGAGACACGGCCCAGACUCCUACGGGAGGCAGCAGUAGGGAAUAUUGGACAAUGGGCGAAAGCCUGAUCCAGCAAUGCCGCGUGAGUGAUGAGGCCUUAGGUUGUAAAGCUCUUUUACCCGAGAUGAUAAUGACAGUAUCGGAAGAAUAAGCCCGGCUAACGUCCGUGACCAGCAGCCGAC